This 465-nucleotide ribosomal RNA is filed under the name uncultured bacterium. RNAcentral's name for it is "partial 16S ribosomal RNA". It matches the Rfam family "Bacterial small subunit ribosomal RNA", at positions 339 to 795 of the family's 1533-position model. The record is from RNAcentral.
CUACGGGGUGCUGCAGUGGGGAAUAUUGCGCAAUGGGCGAAAGCCUGACGCAGCAACGCCGUGUGAGGGAUGAAGGCUUUCGGGUCGUAAACCUCUGUCGGAAGGGAAGAACGGGCAUUGGUCUAAUAGGCCUUUGUUUUGACGGUACCUUUAGAGGAAGCACCGGCUAACUCCGUGCCAGCAGCCGCGGUAAUACGGAGGGUGCAAGCGUUAUUCGGAAUUACUGGGCGUAAAGCGCACGUAGGCGGCCUUGUAAGUCAGGGGUGAAAUCCCACGGCUCAACCGUGGAACUGCCUUUGAAACUGCAGGGCUUGAAUCCUGGAGAGGGUGGCGGAAUUCCUGGUGUAGGAGUGAAAUCCGUAGAUAUCAGGAGGAACACCGGUGGCGAAGGCGGCCACCUGGACAGGUAUUGACGCUGAGGUGCGAAAGUGUGGGGAGCAAACAGGAUUAGAUACCCGCGUAGUC